RNAcentral lists this transfer RNA (82 nucleotides) under Actinomycetota bacterium. RNAcentral's name for it is "tRNA-Tyr". It matches the Rfam family "tRNA". From Rfam's summary of the family: Transfer RNA (tRNA) molecules are approximately 80 nucleotides in length. Their secondary structure includes four short double-helical elements and three loops (D, anti-codon, and T loops). Further hydrogen bonds mediate the characteristic L-shaped molecular structure. tRNAs have two regions of fundamental functional importance: the anti-codon, which is responsible for specific mRNA codon recognition, and the 3' end, to which the tRNAs corresponding amino acid is attached (by aminoacyl-tRNA synthetases). tRNAs cope with the degeneracy of the genetic code in two manners: having more than one tRNA (with a specific anti-codon) for a particular amino acid; and 'wobble' base-pairing, i.e. permitting non-standard base-pairing at the 3rd anti-codon position. The record is from RNAcentral. Lineage: Bacteria; Bacillati; Actinomycetota.
GGGGGAGUGUCCGAGUGGUUAAAGGAGAUGCGCUGUAAACGCAUUGGCUAUGCCUACGCAGGUUCGAAUCCUGCCUCCCCCA